Phragmites australis (common reed) is the source of this 1482-nucleotide RNA transcript. RefSeq lists it as uncharacterized. NCBI's taxonomy places the organism in Eukaryota, Viridiplantae, Streptophyta, Magnoliopsida, Poales, Poaceae. The transcript is spliced from 5 exons. The record is from RefSeq and is a predicted model, not a curated record.
UCCUUCGCCCCUUCGCAAUCUGCGGCGAAUAUCCUCGGAUUCCUUCCUUCCCCUCUCCCCUCGUCGAUCACGCCCGCCGCGGUCCGAAGUCCCAGGCUCCGGCGUCCCCGCUCGCCGUCCGUCCGGGGCUCCGGGCUCGCCGGGUGUCGGGAUGCCCUGCUGCCCGCCGCUGUUUGGAGUGGGCCCGCGGCUGCGCUCCUUCCUCCGCGACUACGACGCGCUCCAGUCCCUCGCCCUCGCCCUCAUCUACCUCCAGAUUGGCUGUGCACUGAUUGGAUCACUUGGGGCAUUGUUCAAUGGGGUUCUUGUGAUCAACCUGGUGAUAGGGCUCUUUGCUGUUGUAGCGAUCGAAAGUAGUAGCCAGAGACUUGGCCGGACAUAUGCUGUCCUUCUCUUCUUCGCUGUCAUCCUUGACGUUGCUUGGUUUAUACUCUUCUCGUGUGCUAUAUGGACUUUAAAUCCUGACGAGAAGUAUGGCCAGCUUUUUGUUUUCUCACUCAGACUAGCAUUGUGGAUGCAGAUCAUUGGGUUUUCAGUCAGGUUUUUUUCGUCAUUCAUAUGGAUCCAGAUGUAUAGAUUAGGGGCCUCUUCCAACAUGCCAACAUAUUUUGAAGCAAAUCAUGAAGCAAGAAAUAGUUUCUUAAGCCCCAGAUCUGAUUCAGUUAGACGGAGUUCCAUGGCAGAUGAUAUGUUGGGAGGUUCAAUUUAUGAUCCUUGCUACUACUCGUCACUCUUUGAGGAUGUUCGAAACAAUGCAUGCAAUCAUCAGGGUGAUUAACAAAGUGGUAGUAAUGAUAGUGGGUAAACACAUGCGGGCCAAUCUCGACAACUUAAAUCUUUUGCUUGUAGAUCUCUUUUGGCUAAUGAUGUGGAAGGUGGACUUAGAAGACCCUUGACCUCUUAAUGUAUCUCACAGCGGACUCGAGUUGAAAAUGGAGUUUAUUUUGUGAACCUAAGUCCUGUAGCCGCUGUUCUUUUUGAAGCGUAGAUAUCCCAGUGAAAGGAGAUCAGCAAAAUACUGCAACUGUGAUCACCUGUGUUGCUGCACGUUCUUGAACUUCGACAAGAUUUUUGGUGCCAUUGCAUGUGGAAGCGCCAUUUCUGCUUGGCCCACAUGAGCUGGAUGGUUUCGCAAAGAGCAGUCGAAUGCUGAUGUUGCACAUUGUUUUAUGCCAUGUGACAUGUUUUACUGCUCAGUAUGGUCCAUUUUUCAGACAUGUCUUUGCCUGUUUCUCUUAGCUAUCAAGGAAAUGAAGCUGGUAGUUAAAUAGUUCGGUAGUCACUCGGUUCUACUCUAGCCGCAGGCUGGUAUUCUUGUUCUUCCCUAGCAUUUUGGUCAUUGUUCAUAGUGCUAUCUUGACAAGUUCAUCUCUGGAUCAGCAAAGGAAGAGAAAUGUACAGUUCAUUCGGUUUGUGAGUUCAUUGAAGGGAUAUUGUAUCGGGAUCAAAUUUCAUAACACUAGGUUACCAUAUUCUUCUCAA